This 2139-nucleotide ribosomal RNA is filed under the name Escherichia coli. Its description in RNAcentral is "bacterial LSU rRNA". It matches the Rfam family "Bacterial large subunit ribosomal RNA", at positions 1 to 2157 of the family's 2925-position model. The record is from RNAcentral. Lineage: Bacteria; Pseudomonadati; Pseudomonadota; Gammaproteobacteria; Enterobacterales; Enterobacteriaceae.
GGGUUGUGAGGUUAAGCGACUAAGCGUACACGGUGGAUGCCCUGGCAGUCAGAGGCGAUGAAGGACGUGCUAAUCUGCGAUAAGCGUCGGUAAGGUGAUAUGAACCGUUAUAACCGGCGAUUUCCGAAUGGGGAAACCCAGUGUGAUUCGUCACACUAUCAUUAACUGAAUCCAUAGGUUAAUGAGGCGAACCGGGGGAACUGAAACAUCUAAGUACCCCGAGGAAAAGAAAUCAACCGAGAUUCCCCCAGUAGCGGCGAGCGAACGGGGAGCAGCCCAGAGCCUGAAUCAGUGUGUGUGUUAGUGGAAGCGUCUGGAAAGGCGUGCGAUACAGGGUGACAGCCCCGUACACAAAAAUGCACAUAUUGUGAGCUCGAUGAGUAGGGCGGGACACGUGGUAUCCUGUCUGAAUAUGGGGGGACCAUCCUCCAAGGCUAAAUACUCCUGACUGACCGAUAGUGAACCAGUACCGUGAGGGAAAGGCGAAAAGAACCCCGGCGAGGGGAGUGAAAAAGAACCUGAAACCGUGUACGUACAAGCAGUGGGAGCACGCUUAGGCGUGUGACUGCGUACCUUUUGUAUAAUGGGUCAGCGACUUAUAUUCUGUAGCAAGGUUAACCGAAUAGGGGAGCCGAAGGGAAACCGAGUCUUAACUGGGCGUUAAGUUGCAGGGUAUAGACCCGAAACCCGGUGAUCUAGCCAUGGGCAGGUUGAAGGUUGGGUAACACUAACUGGAGGACCGAACCGACUAAUGUUGAAAAAUUAGCGGAUGACUUGUGGCUGGGGGUGAAAGGCCAAUCAAACCGGGAGAUAGCUGGUUCUCCCCGAAAGCUAUUUAGGUAGCGCCUCGUGAAUUCAUCUCCGGGGGUAGAGCACUGUUUCGGCAAGGGGGUCAUCCCGACUUACCAACCCGAUGCAAACUGCGAAUACCGGAGAAUGUUAUCACGGGAGACACACGGCGGGUGCUAACGUCCGUCGUGAAGAGGGAAACAACCCAGACCGCCAGCUAAGGUCCCAAAGUCAUGGUUAAGUGGGAAACGAUGUGGGAAGGCCCAGACAGCCAGGAUGUUGGCUUAGAAGCAGCCAUCAUUUAAAGAAAGCGUAAUAGCUCACUGGUCGAGUCGGCCUGCGCGGAAGAUGUAACGGGGCUAAACCAUGCACCGAAGCUGCGGCAGCGACACUAUGUGUUGUUGGGUAGGGGAGCGUUCUGUAAGCCUGCGAAGGUGUGCUGUGAGGCAUGCUGGAGGUAUCAGAAGUGCGAAUGCUGACAUAAGUAACGAUAAAGCGGGUGAAAAGCCCGCUCGCCGGAAGACCAAGGGUUCCUGUCCAACGUUAAUCGGGGCAGGGUGAGUCGACCCCUAAGGCGAGGCCGAAAGGCGUAGUCGAUGGGAAACAGGUUAAUAUUCCUGUACUUGGUGUUACUGCGAAGGGGGGACGGAGAAGGCUAUGUUGGCCGGGCGACGGUUGUCCCGGUUUAAGCGUGUAGGCUGGUUUUCCAGGCAAAUCCGGAAAAUCAAGGCUGAGGCGUGAUGACGAGGCACUACGGUGCUGAAGCAACAAAUGCCCUGCUUCCAGGAAAAGCCUCUAAGCAUCAGGUAACAUCAAAUCGUACCCCAAACCGACACAGGUGGUCAGGUAGAGAAUACCAAGGCGCUUGAGAGAACUCGGGUGAAGGAACUAGGCAAAAUGGUGCCGUAACUUCGGGAGAAGGCACGCUGAUAUGUAGGUGAAGUCCCUCGCGGAUGGAGCUGAAAUCAGUCGAAGAUACCAGCUGGCUGCAACUGUUUAUUAAAAACACAGCACUGUGCAAACACGAAAGUGGACGUAUACGGUGUGACGCCUGCCCGGUGCCGGAAGGUUAAUUGAUGGGGUUAGCGCAAGCGAAGCUCUUGAUCGAAGCCCCGGUAAACGGCGGCCGUAACUAUAACGGUCCUAAGGUAGCGAAAUUCCUUGUCGGGUAAGUUCCGACCUGCACGAAUGGCGUAAUGAUGGCCAGGCUGUCUCCACCCGAGACUCAGUGAAAUUGAACUCGCUGUGAAGAUGCAGUGUACCCGCGGCAAGACGGAAAGACCCCGUGAACCUUUACUAUAGCUUGACACUGAACAUUGAGCCUUGAUGUGUAGGAUAGGUGGGAGGCUU